UGGGGAAUUUUGGACAAUGGGCGAAAGCCUGAUCCAGCAAUGCCGCGUGUGUGAAGAAGGCCUUCGGGUUGUAAAGCACUUUUGUCCGGAAAGAAAUCCUUGGCUCUAAUACAGUCGGGGGAUGACGGUACCGGAAGAAUAAGCACCGGCUAACUACGUGCCAGCAGCCGCGGUAAUACGUAGGGUGCAAGCGUUAAUCGGAAUUACUGGGCGUAAAGCGUGCGCAGGCGGUUUGCUAAGACCGAUGUGAAAUCCCCGGGCUCAACCUGGGAACUGCAUUGGUGACUGGCAGGCUAGAGUAUGGCAGAGGGGGGUAGAAUUCCACGUGUAGCAGUGAAAUGCGUAGAGAUGUGGAGGAAUACCGAUGGCGAAGGCAGCCCCCUGGGCCAAAUACUGACGCUCAUGCACGAAAGCGUGGGGAGCAAACAGGAUUAGAUACCCUGGUAGUCCACGCCCUAAACGAUGUCAACUAGUUGUUGGGGACUUCAUUUCCUUAGUAACGUAGCUAACGCGUGAAGUUGACCGCCUGGGGAGUACGGUCGCAAGAUUAAAACUCAAAGGAAUUGACGGGGU
Molecule: ribosomal RNA, 573 nt
Filed under: uncultured bacterium
Lineage: Bacteria
Description: partial 16S ribosomal RNA
Rfam family: Bacterial small subunit ribosomal RNA
Source: RNAcentral